GACGAACGCUGGCGGCGUGCCUAAUACAUGCAAGUAGAACGCUGAAGAGAGGAGCUUGCUCUUCUUGGAUGAGUUGCGAACGGGUGAGUAACGCGUAGGUAACCUGCCUUUUAGCGGGGGAUAACUAUUGGAAACGAUAGCUAAUACCGCAUAACAAUGGAUGACACAUGUCAGUUAUUUGAAAGGGGCAAUUGCUCCACUACAAGAUGGACCUGCGUUGUAUUAGCUAGUAGGUUAGGUAAUGGCUCACCUAGGCGACGAUACAUAGCCGACCUGGGAGGGGGAUUCGCCAACACGGGAACUGGACCACGCCCAGAACUCCUAGGGGGGCCGGCGUAGGGGAUUCUCGCCAAUGGGGCCAAACCCGACCGAGCAACCGCCGGUGAGUGGAGGAAGUUUUUCGAUUCGAAAGCUUUGUUGUAUGUCAAAGACGGGUGUUGUAGUGGAAAGUUCACACUGUGACGGUAGCUAACCAGAAAGCCACGGCUAACUACGUG
Molecule: ribosomal RNA, 497 nt
Filed under: uncultured bacterium
Lineage: Bacteria
Description: partial 16S ribosomal RNA
Rfam family: Bacterial small subunit ribosomal RNA
Source: RNAcentral